Molecule: long non-coding RNA, 407 nt
Filed under: Brassica napus (rape)
Lineage: Eukaryota; Viridiplantae; Streptophyta; Magnoliopsida; Brassicales; Brassicaceae
Description: long non-coding RNA (BNAP_LNC010426)
Source: RNAcentral
CGCAAUCGAUUACACUGAAUAAAACUACAUUUUGUCCUCAUCAGAUAUUUAGCUGAAAACGAAACGAUGUACAAAUAAAUAAAUAAACAAACAGAGACCAAACCCGUUAACUGCGAGUCUGCGACGACAACAACAGUUCCGCGUCCGAGUUUCUGCUUAUCUCUUCUUGUUCAUUAAACUACCUUUCACGCGUGGCUUGUAGCGCGUGGAUAAACAGAAUAUUUAGUACUGCACCGGUUUGACUUUUUUGGUUCCGGAUCUUACGGCGGAUCUUGCAAAACCUGUACUGUGUGGCUGUACAUAAUAAUAUAGCUCCAGAAAGAGAGAAGCUAACGCGAAGUAGGCCAUGUUUCUGAUGUACUUGCGUUAAUGUAGAUUUAAAUCAGAGCUAUUGUCUUUAAAUCUUC